UGAGGAAUAUUGGUCAAUGGGCGAGAGCCUGAACCAGCCAAGUCGCGUGAGGGAAGACGGUCCUACGGAUUGUAAACUUCUUUUGUGGUGGAGCAAUAAGACCUACGUGUAGGUCGAUGAGAGUACAUCACGAAUAAGCAUCGGCUAACUCCGUGCCAGCAGCCGCGGUAAUACGGAGGAUGCAAGCGUUAUCCGGAAUUAUUGGGUUUAAAGGGUGCGUAGGCUGUUUUGCAAGUCAGGGGUGAAAGCCCGGAGCUCAACUCCGGAACUGCCUUUGAUACUGCGAGGCUGGAAUACGGAUGCCGUGGGAGGAAUGAGUAGUGUAGCGGUGAAAUGCAUAGAUAUUACUCAGAACACCGAUUGCGAAGGCAUCUCACGAAUCCGCAAUUGACGCUGAGGCACGAAAGUGUGGGGAUCAAACAGGAUUAGAUACCCUGGUAGU
This 442-nucleotide ribosomal RNA is filed under the name uncultured bacterium. RNAcentral's name for it is "bacterial SSU rRNA". It matches the Rfam family "Bacterial small subunit ribosomal RNA", at positions 355 to 794 of the family's 1533-position model. The record is from RNAcentral.